This 231-nucleotide ribosomal RNA is filed under the name Triticum aestivum (bread wheat). RNAcentral describes it as "partial small subunit ribosomal RNA". The record is from RNAcentral. Lineage: Eukaryota; Viridiplantae; Streptophyta; Magnoliopsida; Poales; Poaceae.
AUGGCACAGUUAUGCCAUUACUACAGCAAAACUAGAAUUAAAAGCAAAAGAAAAAUAACAAACCUUAAGAAAUAGUUGACCAGUCCUUGGAUUGAAAAUAAAGAUUGCACCAUUUAUUGGUUUGGUGGUCAGGUUACCUUCAAAGGUUUUGUGAAUGGUAACACGAUAGACAUUUGUGUCAUCCACAAACCAUAUGAUUUGGUUGCUGAAUAUCUCUCCAUAAUUCUGUGA